CUCCUCCUCCUCCUGCUUCUUCUCUCAGUCCCUUCCCUCCCUCCCCCCCAGAAACGUGUCCCUUUUCAAGUUGCAAAAGCAGCCAGGGCGAAGCGGGCUGUCGCGAGAGGCAUUCAGGAGGGUGACCCUGGGGAGGAGAGGGAAGAGAGGGCGACGGGGGGAAGAAGCAGGAGGAGGAGGAG
Molecule: non-coding RNA, 182 nt
Organism: Podarcis lilfordi (Lilford's wall lizard)
Lineage: Eukaryota; Metazoa; Chordata; Lepidosauria; Squamata; Lacertidae
Source: the annotation of a GenBank genome assembly